UGUCAUGGCCCCACCCCCCUGAGCUUGUUUCCAUUACACACCUGCUCCUGAUCAUCGUUACCGUUACCACUACUUAAACUGUGGCCUGACAUCCAGUCUCUGCCGGAUCGUUAGACGUACCACCUCUGCACCCUGGAGACCCAUUCACUCCCGCCUAGCCACCCUCACCACCGACCUGCACGUUUGUUACCAUCACCUGUACCCACCUGUCACCAAUAAAUACCUUUUUUUUUCACCACCUACCAGUCCCGGUCUGCAUUUGGGUCCUAUCACUGGGAUUUGUGACACAAAUAUGUUAUGCACAAAAGGGCAGGUGUUUAAAGCACUGUAUGAAGAAUCAAAUAAAAUCCCUCUUGAUAUUCCCCUUCAGAGAUGCUGACAAAGAUGAAUAUUUCUGUAUAUACUGUAGCACAAAUCAUUUGUUUUCCUAAUACUCCAUGUCAUAUGGACUGCAGAACAGCUGAGAUAAGCACGUGCUUAGCUGCAAGUACACACAUCAUAUAUACUUAUGUUCCUUGUGUUGAUGAAUUGUCUCAAAGUCUAUACAAAGAACGCUGGAAGUGCGUGUUAAUUUGAGAAUAAUGGAAUGUGUGCCACAGAAUCUGAUUUUCUUAGCAACUACCAUGGACACUGACAGGAAAACUUGUUCUUGUGGAAAAGACAACAGAGUUCUACUGUUUCCUUGUUCCUUGUUUAUCAUCCGGAGUGGAAACAUACUAAGAAUCAUAAAAAUAAACUUUUAGUUUGAUUAUCUACAGAAAUUAAAAGAUAGAUACUUAACAUAACGGGCAGAUCUUAAGACGAAAAAAUGCUUGUAGCGUGAAAACAUAUUUGAAACUUAUCAAAAUGUGUCACUUUAAAUAUCUUAUAAAUAAUAUCCGUUCCUUGCACUUUGUAUUUUAAAAUAAAGCUUUAGACCAUCAUUUUCUCUGCCUUCUGCUGGAAAUAUCACUCUUGAUUUAAAACAACAGAAUCAAUAAACCGCAGCUCAGCACAAAAACAACAGACUUUGCACUCAAAUGACAAAUAAAUUCAUGGCCUCUAUGUACUGUAUCUUCUAUACACUUUCUCAUAUACAAAUAAUAAAAUAUGUUUCUUCAACAAAACCAGGCCUCUCUAGUCUGUUCACUA
This is a long non-coding RNA of Osmerus eperlanus (European smelt), 1131 nucleotides long. RefSeq lists it as uncharacterized. The transcript has 2 exons. Lineage: Eukaryota; Metazoa; Chordata; Actinopteri; Osmeriformes; Osmeridae. The record is from RefSeq and is a predicted model, not a curated record.